This 73-nucleotide transfer RNA is filed under the name Anisakis simplex (herring worm). It matches the Rfam family "tRNA". Rfam says of the family: Transfer RNA (tRNA) molecules are approximately 80 nucleotides in length. Their secondary structure includes four short double-helical elements and three loops (D, anti-codon, and T loops). The record is from Rfam by way of RNAcentral. Lineage: Eukaryota; Metazoa; Nematoda; Chromadorea; Rhabditida; Anisakidae.
GGCCGCGUGGCGCAAUGGACAACGAGUCGGUCUACGAAACCGAGGGUUCCAGAAUCGAAUCCUGCCGUGGUCG